Molecule: transfer RNA, 52 nt
Filed under: Ageratum conyzoides
Lineage: Eukaryota; Viridiplantae; Streptophyta; Magnoliopsida; Asterales; Asteraceae
Description: partial tRNA-Phe
Source: RNAcentral
CGGGAUAGCUCAGUUGGUAGAGCAGAGGACUGAAAAUCUCGUGCCCCUUUUC